UAGUCAAUGGAGAACAAACAUACAACCCGAGAGAAGGAAAACCCCUUUGAACUUGUACCUCCUUGCCGUAAGCAACCUUUUGUUCCAGAUAUUGAUUCAUCCAUGAUUAUAUCUAAAUAUACAAAUUUUGAGGCUCUGACCACAAUCCAGUGGGUUCGAAGGGACCUCCAGAUCCAACAAGAUGACCCAACUUAGACGGGUCAAGAA
This 207-nucleotide long non-coding RNA is filed under the name Hordeum vulgare. Its description in RNAcentral is "long non-coding RNA (HVUL_LNC008969)". Lineage: Eukaryota; Viridiplantae; Streptophyta; Magnoliopsida; Poales; Poaceae. The record is from RNAcentral.